CCUACGGGAGGCUGCAGUGGGGAAUAUUGCACAAUGGGGGAAACCCUGAUGCAGCGACGCCGCGUGAGUGAAGAAGUAUUUCGGUAUGUAAAGCUCUAUCAGCAGGGAAGAAAGUGACGGUACCUGUUUCAUAAGCCCCGGCUAACUACGUGCCAGCAGCCGCGGUAAUACGUAGGGGGCAAGCGUUAUCCGGAUUUACUGGUUGUAAAGGGAGCGUAGACGGCAGAACAAGUCUGGAGUGAAAUGCCGGGGCUUAACCCCGGAACUGCUUCGGAAACUGUGCAGCUAGAGUGCAGGAGAGGUAAGUAGAAUUCCAAGUGUAGCGGUGAAAUGCGUAGAGAUUAGGAGGAAUACCAGUGGCGAAGGCGGCUUACUGGACUGUGACUGACGUUGAGGUUCGAAAGCGUGGGGAGCAAACAGGAUUAGAUACCCCAGUAGUC
Molecule: ribosomal RNA, 440 nt
Filed under: uncultured bacterium
Lineage: Bacteria
Description: partial 16S ribosomal RNA
Rfam family: Bacterial small subunit ribosomal RNA
Source: RNAcentral